Magnolia sinica is the source of this 858-nucleotide long non-coding RNA. RefSeq lists it as uncharacterized. The record is from RefSeq and is a predicted model, not a curated record. The transcript is spliced from 4 exons. Lineage: Eukaryota; Viridiplantae; Streptophyta; Magnoliopsida; Magnoliales; Magnoliaceae.
UUCAUUCUCACGGGCUGUAAGCUUUCUCUAUUCCUCUCCCUCCCUCCCUCCCUCCCUCUCUCCAUCUCAUGCUAAUAGUAGUCUGGACAGGAGGAGAUGCUUUCUCCAUGCGGUGAAGAAAGAAUCGAAUGCUAACAACAAUCUGCAGAAGCUUAACUAGCAACUCCAAUCCCUCUCUCAGAAUCCUUAAUUAUUCCUUAUUCAUAAAUUGUGGAGGCAGUACAAUGAUUGUUGGGAAGAAAGAAUAUGAAGGUGACUCAUCAGAAAUGAGAUCGUCAGACAUUCUCUUCUACUGACAGAUGGGCUUAUAGUAGCACAGGGGAAGAGCUCUACUAUGUUGUUAUCUGGUCUUCAGGGUCUUGCAAGGGAAGCAGCUGCUGCUGGUCUUUCUCUUUCUGAUGUUACUGCAGAAGCAAAGUAUGCAUCUGAAAUGGUGGGAAUGAUGGGUGUCGCCCUCUCUGUUUGUACACUUCUAGGCCAGGUCGCAUCAGAUCGUUUAGGCUCAAGAAAAAUGGAGGUAGGUCUUGGAAUCGUAAGUUGUUAAAUAAUCUCAUUUUCUUGCUAUCUUAAUUACAGUUUAAUCCAUUUCAGGUACCUUUAAUGAUCAAGCAACCUGAAUGAAGAUCUUCCAAUGAUUAUCGAUCUUUAUAUGUAUCUCAACCACUAGAAUAUAAUUUCUUGGGACCCUGCGAUGGCUACUUGAGAAUAGGACUUCAGAAUUUAUGCAUCAACAUGCACCACUAUGGCUUUCAUAAAUUGCAUGGGGAGCCUGGGGCUGCUGUUGCUGACAUCCAACCUGUGGAUGUAGUGGUAUCUCAUGUUCUAAAGCAGAUUUUAUCAAUGGUCUAUUUCACUUGA